CGACGGCGGUGUUUGGCACCUCGAUGUCGGCUCAUCACAUCCUGGGGCUGAAGUAGGUCCCAAGGGUAUGGCUGUUCGCCAUUUAAAGUGGUACGCGAGCUGGGUUUAGAACGUCGUGAGACAGUUCGGUCCCUAUCUGCCGUGGGCGCUGGAGAACUGAGGGGGGCUGCCCCUAGUACGAGAGGACCGGAGUGGACGCAUCACUGGUGUUCGGGUUGUCAUGCCAAUGGCACUGCCCGGUAGCUAAAUGCGGAAGAGAUAAGUGCUGAAAGCAUCUAAGCACGAAACUUGCCCCGAGAUGAGUUCUCCCUGAGACUUUAGGUCUCCUGAAGGAACGUUGAAGACGACGACGUUGAUAGGCCGGGUGUGUAAGCGCAGCGAUGCGUUGAGCUAACCGGUACUAAUGAACCGUGAGGCUUAACCUUACAACGCCGAAG
RNAcentral lists this ribosomal RNA (437 nucleotides) under Salmonella enterica. RNAcentral describes it as "partial 23S ribosomal RNA". It matches the Rfam family "Bacterial large subunit ribosomal RNA", at positions 2506 to 2925 of the family's 2925-position model. Lineage: Bacteria; Pseudomonadati; Pseudomonadota; Gammaproteobacteria; Enterobacterales; Enterobacteriaceae. The record is from RNAcentral.